Molecule: long non-coding RNA, 610 nt
Filed under: Mytilus galloprovincialis (Mediterranean mussel)
Lineage: Eukaryota; Metazoa; Mollusca; Bivalvia; Mytilida; Mytilidae
Source: RNAcentral
GGGGUGCAGGGGGUGCAAAACAUAUGUCCCGAUACAAAUGCAUUGAUCGGCAAAAAUAAAGGGGGGGUGCGCACCCCCGGAACCCCCCCCUGGAUCCGCCACUGCGAACUGAAACAAUAAUAUUAAUUAUUUGGAAAACAAAAGGUCCUGGAAUGGAGUAUUUUUUAAUCAACAGCAUUGUCCUAUAUAAGUUAUAAAUAAAGUUGAAUUCUUUGCUUCGCUGUUUUACGUCAUGCCCACUAACAAAUUGAAAACUGUACCUGUACGCCUUAUUUUUAGUCCAGAUUUUUAGUAUUCGUAUUGUUAUCUUAGAAAGUCUUACUGAUUAAAAUACUACAAAAGGUAACAAUUUGACAAUUUAGUAGUGUCAACCCUGUGGUUAUGACCCGUGUAUAUAGCAUAUUAAUCCUGAAUACAACGUUUGGUGGUGCGCCUGUCAGAUGCGGAACGUACAGAUAAGGUAAUAGGUAACAGGUGAAUAUACUAUUGGUAUCGGUAGCGGACUCGACCCGGAACUUAAUUAUUGGCAAUAUUAAUUACGUGGAAAACAAAACGGCCUGGAGUGGUGUAAUUUUUAAUCUACACCUUUGUACUAUAUUAGUUAUAUAUA